AGCGAACGUUAGCGGCGGGCUUAACACAUGCAAGUCGAACGCGAAAGGGAUUCGUCCCCAGUAGCGUGGCGUCCGGGUGAGUAACACGUAGGAAACCUUGCCUAGAGUGGGGGAUAACGUCCCGAAAGGGACGCUAAUACCGCAUAAGCCCACGUCGGCCUCGGCCGAUGCGGGAAAAGAUGGCCUCUGAAUUCAAGCUAUCGCUCAAGGAUGGUCCUGCGGCGCAUCAGCUAGUUGGUGGGGUAACGGGCCUACCAAGGCGAAGACGCGUAGCUGGUCUGAGAGGAUGAUCAGCCACACUGGCACUGAAACAACGGGCCAGACUCCUACGGGAGGCAGCAGUGGGGAAUA
RNAcentral lists this ribosomal RNA (351 nucleotides) under uncultured bacterium. Its description in RNAcentral is "bacterial SSU rRNA". It matches the Rfam family "Bacterial small subunit ribosomal RNA", at positions 29 to 363 of the family's 1533-position model. The record is from RNAcentral.